AUUGAACGCUGGCGGCAGGCUUAACACAUGCAAGUCGAGCGGGGUGAUGGUGCUUGCACUAUCACUUAGCGGCGGACGGGUGAGUAAUGCUUAGGAAUCUGCCUAUUAGUGGGGGACAACAUCUCGAAAGGGAUGCUAAUACCGCAUACGUCCUACGGGAGAAAGCAGGGGAUCACUUGUGACCUUGCGCUAAUAGAUGAGCCUAAGUCGGAUUAGCUAGUUGGUGGGGUAAGGGCCUACCAAGGCGACGAUCUGUAGCGGGUCUGAGAGGAUGAUCCGCCACACUGGGACUGGGACACGGCCCAGACUCCUCCGGGAGGCAGCAGUGGGGAAUAUUGGACAAUGGGGGGAACCCUGAUCCAGCCAUGCCGCGUGUGUGAAGAAGGCCUUAUGGUUGUAAAGCACUUUAAGCGAGGAGGAGGCUCUUUUGGUUAAUACCCAAGAUGAGUGGACGUUACUCGCAGAAUAAGCACCGGCUAACUCUGUGCCAGCCGCCGCGGUAA
Molecule: ribosomal RNA, 503 nt
Filed under: uncultured bacterium
Lineage: Bacteria
Description: partial 16S ribosomal RNA
Rfam family: Bacterial small subunit ribosomal RNA
Source: RNAcentral